UGCCAGCCGCCGCGGUAAUACGGAGGAUCCAAGCGUUAUCCGGAUUCAUUGGGUUUAAAGGGUCCGCAGGCGGAUUAUUAAGUCAGUGGUGAAAUGCUGUCGCUUAACGAUAGCACUGCCAUUGAUACUGGUAAUCUUGAGUAUAGUUGAGGUGGGCGGAAUAAGUCAUGUAGCGGUGAAAUGCAUAGAUAUGACUUAGAACACCGAUUGCGAAGGCAGCUCACUAAGCUAUUACUGACGCUCAGGGACGAAAGCGUGGGGAGCGAACAGGAUUAGAUA
Molecule: ribosomal RNA, 279 nt
Filed under: uncultured bacterium
Lineage: Bacteria
Description: partial 16S ribosomal RNA
Rfam family: Bacterial small subunit ribosomal RNA
Source: RNAcentral